RNAcentral lists this ribosomal RNA (235 nucleotides) under uncultured bacterium. Its description in RNAcentral is "partial 16S ribosomal RNA". It matches the Rfam family "Bacterial small subunit ribosomal RNA", at positions 102 to 334 of the family's 1533-position model. The record is from RNAcentral.
CACGGGUGAGUAACACGUAUCCAACCUGCCGUCUACUCUUGGCCAGCCUUCUGAAAGGAAGAUUAAUCCAGGAUGGGAUCAUGAGUUCACAUGUCCGCAUGAUUAAAGGUAUUUUCCGGUAGACGAUGGGGAUGCGUUCCAUUAGAUAGUAGGCGGGGUAACGGCCCACCUAGUCAACGAUGGAUAGGGGUUCUGAGAGGAAGGUCCCCCACAUUGGAACUGAGACACGGUCCAA